Molecule: ribosomal RNA, 300 nt
Filed under: Thraustochytriidae sp.
Lineage: Eukaryota; Bigyra; Thraustochytrida; Thraustochytriidae
Description: SSU rRNA
Rfam family: Eukaryotic small subunit ribosomal RNA
Source: RNAcentral
GAGCGACUUUUCUGGUUAAUUCCAUUAACGAACGAGACCACAGCCUGCUAAAUCGUACGUGUUAUGGUAACAUAGUAUGAGACUUCUUAGAGGGACAUUUCGGGUUUACCGAAAGGAAGUUUGUGGCAAUAACAGGUCUGUGAUGCCCUUAGAUGUUCUGGGUCGCACGCGCGCUACACUGACGACUUCAACAAGUUUUUUUCUUUGAAAAAGUCCUUGGCUGGAAAGUCUGGGUAAUCUUUUAAACGGUCGUCGUGAUGGGGCUAGAUUCUUGCAAUUAUUAAUCUCCAACGAGGAACC